GCGAAAGUGACUGUACCUGCAGAAGAAGCACCGGCUAACUACGUGCCAGCAGCCGUCGGUAAUACGUAGGGUGCAAGCGUUGUCCGGAUUUAUUGGGCGUAAAGAGCUCGUAGGCGGUUUGUCGCGUCGGAUGUGAAAACCCAAUGGCUUAACCUUGGGCCUGCAUUCGAUACGGGCAAACUAGAGUGUGGUAGGGGAGACUGGAAACUCCUGGUGUAGCGGUGGAAUGCGUCAGAUAUCAGGAAGAACACCGAUGGCGAAGGCAGGUCUCUGGGCCAUAACUGACGCUGAGGAGCGAAAGCGUGGGGAGCGAACAGGAUUAGAUACCCCUGGUAGUCCACGCCGUAAACGGUGGGCGCUAGGUGUGGGGAUUGUUUCCACGAUCUCCGUGCCGUAGCUAACGCAUUAAGCGCCCCGCCCUGGGGAGUACGGCCGCAAGGCUAAAAACUCAAAGGAAUUGACGGGGGCCCGCACAAGCGGCGGAGCAUGCGGCUUAAUUCGAUGCAACGCGAAG
Molecule: ribosomal RNA, 514 nt
Filed under: uncultured bacterium
Lineage: Bacteria
Description: bacterial SSU rRNA
Rfam family: Bacterial small subunit ribosomal RNA
Source: RNAcentral